GAUGAACGCUAGCGGCAGGCUUAAUACAUGCAAGUCAAGGGGGUAGCAAUACAACCGGCGCACGGGUGAGUAACGCGUACACGACAUACCAUAUACUGGGGUAUAGCUUUGGGAAACUGAAGGUAAUCCCCCAUAACAUUGCGAGAGGGCAUCUGAUUGCAAUUAAAGUUUCGGCGGUAUAUGAUUGGUGUGCGUUUGAUUAGCUAGUUGGUAGGGUAACGGCCUACCAAGGCGACGAUCAAUAGCUGGCGUGAGAGCGCGACCAGCCACACUGGAACUGAGACACGGUCCAGACUCCUACGGGAGGCAGCAGUAGGGAAUAUUGGACAAUGGAGGAAACUCUGAUCCAGCCAUGCCGCGUGAUAGAUGAAGGCCCUCUGGGUUGUAAAUAUCUUUUAUCUGGGAAGAAACAAUCUUAUUCUUAAGAUCUUGACGGUACCAGAGGAAUAAGCACCGGCUAACUCCGUGCCAGCAGCCGCGGUAAU
This 485-nucleotide ribosomal RNA is filed under the name uncultured bacterium. RNAcentral describes it as "bacterial SSU rRNA". It matches the Rfam family "Bacterial small subunit ribosomal RNA", at positions 28 to 524 of the family's 1533-position model. The record is from RNAcentral.